AGUGAACGCUGGCGGUAGGCCUAACACAUGCAAGUCGAACGGCAGCACAGUAAGAGCUUGCUCUUACGGGUGGCGAGUGGCGGACGGGUGAGGAAUACAUCGGAAUCUACUUUUUCGUGGGGGAUAACGUAGGGAAACUUACGCUAAUACCGCAUACGACCUACGGGUGAAAGCAGGGGAUCUUCGGACCUUGCGCGAUUGAAUGCGCCGAUGUCGGAUUAGCUAGUUGGCGGGGUAAAGGCCCACCAAGGCGACGAUCCGUAGCUGGUCUGAGAGGAUGAUCAGCCACACUGGAACUGAGACACGGUCCAGACUCCUACGGGAGGCAGCAGUGGGGAAUAUUGGACAAUGGGCGCAAGCCUGAUCCAGCCAUACCGCGUGGGUGAAGAAGGCCUUCGGGUUGUAAAGCCCUUUUGUCGGGAAAGAAAAGCAGCAGGUUAAUACCCCGCUGUUCUGACGGUACCCAAAGAAUAAGCACCGGCUAACUUCGUG
This 492-nucleotide ribosomal RNA is filed under the name uncultured bacterium. RNAcentral's name for it is "partial 16S ribosomal RNA". It matches the Rfam family "Bacterial small subunit ribosomal RNA", at positions 29 to 507 of the family's 1533-position model. The record is from RNAcentral.